GUCUCUGUAGCGCAAUGGACAGACAGCGCUUUGGACUUCUAAUUCAAAGGUUGUGGGUUCGAAUCACUUCUGGGAUG
Non-coding RNA from Trichonephila clavipes, 77 nucleotides. NCBI's taxonomy places the organism in Eukaryota, Metazoa, Arthropoda, Arachnida, Araneae, Nephilidae. The record is from the annotation of a GenBank genome assembly.